GCGGCGGAGAGGCGGCCAGCGGCGGCGCGGCGGAGAGGCGGAUAGCGGCGGAGAGGCGGACAGCGGCGGCGCGGCGGAGAGACGGACAGCGGCGGAGAGGCGGACAGCGGCGGAGAGGCGGACAGCGGCGGCGCGGCGGAGAGACGGACAGCGGCGGAGAGGCGGACAGCGGCGGCGCGGCGGAGAGACGGAUAGCGGCGGAGAGGCGGACAGCGGCGGCGCGGCGGAGAGGCGGACAGCGGCGGAGAGACGGACAGCGGCGGAGAGGCGGACAGCGGCGGCGCGGCGGAGAGGCGGACAGCGGCGGCGCGGCGGAGAGACGGACAGCGGCGGAGAGGCAGACAGCGGCGGCGAGGCGCGCAGCGGCGGCGCAGGCGCGGAGAGGCGCUGGCGCCGGCUCUGGCGCGGAGAGGUGCAGGCCCAGGCUCCACUCCCCAGCUGUGAAAGGGUAAGAACCGAGGGUGGCUGAGACUCGGGGUUGUUCAGGGCGGGGUGGGCUCUGGACCCAGCAGGCCCGGCACCCAGGUCAGGGCUCCAGGGGAGGCCAGGUGGGCGAAGGCCAAGAAGGGGCUGGGGCUGGUCAGGAAGGGCUCCUGGUGACCAGAGCACUUUGCGUGAGCCAGCGUGGGAGGAAGGUGGGCUAGAUGAGCCAGGGAGGCGCCGGGAGGGGCCUUGGCAGAGGCGACCCCCUCCGUCACCCCCAGGCCACUGAACCCUGGGUAGCGAGAACCGACAGGGGAGGCUGCAGACAGAGGAGUGGAGGCUCCCCGGCUUUGGGGGCUCUGAGUAGAAGCAUCUAGGGGGUCCCUCAAGAGGCCCCCAAACGCUUCCCCAUGGUGAGAAAAGAAGGCGCAGAGAGGGGCACGGCGCCGGCGCAGAGGGGCACACAGCGAGAUUUGCUGUGAGUUCUUUUAUUGCCCCAAGUGUACCUCAUCUUGGUAGAUUUCUAUUGGCUUUAAAAAUGUGUGUGUUUUGCUGUUGGGGAGUGGGGUGUUAUACGGAUGUCAGAUUUUGCUGGUUGACUGUUCAGAUCUUUUGUAAAUCCUUGCUCCUUUUCUGCCUAGUUUCACUCUGUCACUUACACUAGAGUGCGGUGGCACGAACAUGACUCACUGCAGCCUUGACUUCCUAGGGUCAAGUACUCCCCCUGGCUUAAUCUCCUGAGUAGCUGGUACUAUAGGUGUGUGCCGCCACACCUGGCUAAAUUUAAAAUUUUUUGGAGAGAUGAGGCCUUGCUAUGUUGCCCAGGCUCGAACUCCUGGCCUCAAGCUAUCCUUUGUUUUUGCCUCCCAGAGUUCUGGGAUUACAGGCAUGAGCCACUGUGCCCGGCCUCUGCCUAGUUUUAACAGUUGCUAAGAGGAGGAUGUUGAAGUAGAUGUCUUCUUGGUGGGUUAAUCCUUUUGUCAUUAAGCAGUUGUUAUGGUCACUUCCUUUUCACCCCAUUGGUGAAGGAGGGGUCCCUGCCCUAAAGUGUAGGAGAUGGCCGAACAUGACACCUGGCGUGGAUGGAUGAGAUUGACAGCAGUGUUUUAGUCGCAUAUACCCACAGCUCGGAGGAGGACACUGCAUGCCACACAGGGUCAGAUGGGCACCGCACUCUGUAGUGGAGUGAGGGCUGCGGGCUGAGGAAGCAGGCGGGCUUGGUAGUAACAAGAGCACACGAUGACCAAUGGUUCCCGAGGGGGAAUGCAAUUGGCUUGUUUGAAUAAAUUCAUGGGCUGGCAGACAGGUGAAGCGAAACUUCUUAGGCUGAGGUGCAACUGUUCUGGCUGAUAAAAGAACUAGCCAGGUGGGGAGCCUUUCCUGUUGGGUGGCGGGGUAGGGGGUGUCUGGUAGAAACAGGAAAACCCACGGCUAGGCCUUUGGGGCCCUGUGAGGCUCAAAGAUGUCAAGGCAGCAUAGGAAAUUUUAGAUCUUAAAAUUCAGCGAAGACCCUCUCCAGCUCUGGUAAAUUAUUUUGCUUGAAGUCUACUUCAUGAAAUAUUAAUAUAGUCACUCCUGCUUCCUUAAAAAAUUAAUGAUUUCACAGGAUAUCUUUCUCCAUUCUUUUACUUUCAACCUACUUAGGUCCUUAAGUGAGUUUGAAGUUUCUCAUGAACAGUAUUUAGUUGGGCCAUGUGUUUAUUAUAGGCUCUCCAUCAAUCUGUCUUUUGGUUUAUUUAGACCAUUUACAUUUAAGGUGCUUAUUGUUACAUAAUUGCUUAUGCCUGAUGUUUUUAUUAUUUGCUUUUUUGUUUCCUUUUUCUUUCCCUCCAUCUUGAUCUAUUUCUGUAAAAUGUUGUUGCGUGUAUCUCUUUGUAUAGUCUUAAAGUGUUUGCUCUGGAUGUUACAAUAUGUGUAUUGUAAUAUAGUAGUCUACUGGUACCAGUAUUUACCACUUCAAAGUGUGGAAACCUGCCUUGCAUUUAUGUCUCUUUACCUUUUCCACUUGUAUAAAUCACUGGCUUGAGUAUUAGGUGGUGGUAUAGUUUUUGUUUCAGUCGUCAGAUGUGAUUUUAAGAACUGUGGAUUGUCUCGCGUAUGUAUCCACAUUUCUCGUCUUUCCUUUGUCCCUCCUCCCAUAGUCCCAUAUUCAUCCCUUCUGCAUAAGAACUUUCUAUAGCCAUUUUUUUAUUUUGAUUUUUUUGUUUUAAUUUUUUGUAUUGUGGAAAUGACAGAACAUAUUUCCGUAGCCACUUUUUAGCAUUUCUAAAUUGACCAGUGACAAAUUCCUAUAUUCUCUUCCUCUGAGAAUGUCUUUAUUUCUCUCUUCAUUUCUGAAGGGUAGUUUCAUGGGAUAUAGAAUUUGCCUUUCAUGUAUUCAGAGGUUUUCAGUAUUCGUAUAAUCAAACCUGAUAGUUUUCCUUUUGGUUUUGAGGUUGUGUCUUGUUUGGGUGAGUCUCCUACCCCUUUGACUACAGAAAUGCCCUUUCAUUUUAAAUAUCCUCCUAUUAUGAAACACAUUUCCACAUUUUCUAAAUUUUUAAUUUUUAGCUGAGAAAUAAAUUAGUAAUUAUUUAAGUAUUAAUUAUUUUUAUCUUGUUAUUAAUUAUUGGUUUUAUUUAUUUACAUGUAGUUGGCUUACAUUUAGUUUAGUUUAACUUAAUUACUUUAAAGUAAUGUAUAAAUAUCUGCAGUUUGUACCUCAUGUUCUCACUCAUAAGUGGGAGCUGAACAAUGAGAACACGUAGACACAGGGAGGGGAACAUCACACACCAGGUUCUAUCCAGGGGUUGGGGGCAAGGGAAAGGAGAGCAUUAUGACAAAUACCUAAUGCAUGCAGGGCUUAAAACCUAGAUGACAAAUUGAUAGGUGCAGCAAACCACCAUGGCACAUGUAUACCUAUGUAAUAAACCUACAUGUUCUGCACAUGUAUCCCAGAACUUAAAGUAAAAUUUUAAAAAAAAAAAUAAUUAAUUAAAAAUAUAUAUCUUCAGUUUGUAAACGUCCCGACAACGCAGGAACAGAGUUAAAAGAGUGUGUGUCGUCCUUAGCUGCUCCCACCCCAUCGUCUCCUCCCUAGCCAACCCAGCCGCCAGUCUGGCGUGCGCCUUCAAGGUUUCUUCCUAGACACUGGCAAACAAACAUCACUAUUUUCUGCCACAUGGUAUCUUUUAAACACACACGAUUGUUUUGUGCAGAAACUUUCUAUUUUUACCUCUCAUAAGUGUCCUGUGGAUUCUUUCCACGUCACUGUGGUGUGUGUGCGUGUGUGAGAUUCAAGUUCAGCUUGCUAAUCUUGUAGAAAGAAUUACACUCCACUUCCCCUGUGCUCUGGCCCUCCCUAACACAGCAGCCCAUCCCUGGAGGCUGAUGGAGCCCCUCGAGCACCUGCUUACCAUUUCUGUUUGUUCUGUUUGUUCAGGUUUUCUGCCUCCUGCUAAGCCAAUUUAUACAUUCCAAGAAAAUCUUCCAUUUCAUCCAGGUGAAACGGAACCUACUGGAAUGAAGCUGGCCUCCCAUGGAAUGAAGCUGGCCUCCCGUCUCCUUGAUUUGAAGCAGCUUCUCCACGUUGGUUAUUAUGCCAUUUUUCUAAAUCUAACAUUUUAAAAUUUGUGCCUUUUCUUUCUCUUUUGCUUGACUUCUCAGAGGUUUUUUUAACGGUCUUUUCAAAGAAGUGGUUUUGGGUUUUAUUUAUCAAGUCUACUUUUAUUAUGGCUGUUUUAAAAUUAAAUACAUUUAUUUCUUGUUUCCCUUAAAAAAGC
Molecule: long non-coding RNA, 4184 nt
Filed under: Homo sapiens (human)
Lineage: Eukaryota; Metazoa; Chordata; Mammalia; Primates; Hominidae
Description: HSALNT0304040
Source: RNAcentral